Molecule: ribosomal RNA, 250 nt
Filed under: uncultured prokaryote
Description: partial 16S ribosomal RNA
Rfam family: Bacterial small subunit ribosomal RNA
Source: RNAcentral
UACGUAGGGUGCGAGCGUUGUCCGGAAUUAUUGGGCGUAAAGGGCUCGUAGGCGGUUUGUCGCGUCAGGAGUGAAAACUCGGGGCUCAACCCCGAGCCUGCUUCUGAUGCGGGCAGACUAGAGGUAUGCAGGGGAGAACGGAAUUCCUGGUGUAGCGGUGAAAUGCGCAGAUAUCAGGAGGAACACCGGUGGCGAAGGCGGUUCUCUGGGCAUUACCUGACGCUGAGGAGCGAAAGUGUGGGGAGCGAAC